Molecule: long non-coding RNA, 256 nt
Organism: Amphimedon queenslandica
Lineage: Eukaryota; Metazoa; Porifera; Demospongiae; Haplosclerida; Niphatidae
Exons: 2
Source: RefSeq, a predicted model, not a curated record
AACAAGGAGAUGAAAUCAGUCAUUACAAUGUUUGUCAUGCAAUAUCUCUUAGCAAAUUCAACAGACAGUGAUGAAAUUACAUUAUGUUAUAGAACAUAACUUUUUCCAUUAAUAAUACUAAUAUGACUACUGUAGCAUUCAAAAGCCAGGUCAGCCACGAGUGAAAGGUCAAUAGUUAAUAGUAUUCAUUUUGCAAGACAUGUGGCUUUUUACUUAAUCGUAUUAUUCAUUAUUCUAUUUAAUAUUCAUUUUUAAA